CAGGCCUAACACAUGCAAGUCGAGCGAGAGGCACUUCAGUGCGAGUAGAGCGCCGGACGGGUGAGUAACACGUAGGAAUCUACCCAGUGGUGGGGGACAACUUGGGGAAACUCAAGCUAGGGCCGCUUACGCCCUACGGGGGAAAGCGGGGGACCUUCGGGCCUCGCGCCUUUGGGUGAGCCUGCCCCCCAAUGGCUAAUGGUGGGGUAAAGGCCCACCAAGGCGACGAUCCCGGCUGGUCUGAGAGGAUGAUCAGCCACACUGAGACUGAGAGGGGCCCAAUACUCCUACGGGGGCCCCCUGGGGAAUAUUGGGCAAUGGGGGCGCCCUGACGCGCCGUGCCGCGUGUGUGAAAAAGGCCUUAAGGUUGUAAAUCACUUUCAAUAGAGAGGAAAAGUUGUACGUUAAAAGCGUGCAGCCGUGACGUUACCUAUACAACAACACCGGCUAACUCCGUGCCUUCAUCCGCGGUAAUACUGAGGGUGCAAGCGUUAAUCGAAUCACUGGGCGUAGAGCGCGCCUCCGCGGCUUGAUGGGAAUUAUGUGUAAUCCCCGGGCUCAACCUGAGAAUUGCAUUUGAUACUGUCUGGCUAGAGUAUGGUAAAAGGGGGGUGGAAUUCCAGUGUACGGUGAAAUGCGUAGAUAUCUGGAGGAACAUCAGUGGCGAAGGCGACCCCCUGGACCAAUACUGACGCUGAGUGCCAAGGCGUGGUAGCCAACAAGAUUAGAUACCCUGGUACUCCACGCGUAACAAAUGUCUGCUAGCCGUCCGUCUCAUUAUAAGAGCUUGCUGGCGCAGACUACCGCAUAAGUUGACCGCCUGGAGA
Molecule: ribosomal RNA, 827 nt
Filed under: uncultured bacterium
Lineage: Bacteria
Description: bacterial SSU rRNA
Rfam family: Bacterial small subunit ribosomal RNA
Source: RNAcentral